UCAGAUGUCCUUUUCCUCUUUUUGGUAAGAAUUUCCCAUACAGUGGACUCAGAUUGUUCGCUCUGCUCAUGGCUACCAGGGGCCUGAUCUUUUCCUUUGGUAGCUUUGUUCUUCUUGGUGUAAUAAGCCAAAAGGUCUGCAUCGGUCAUCGAAGACAUCUUGGCUGCAAAACAAAAUUGCAAAAUGUAAUAUUAGUUUUCAAAGUCGGUUUGGAUGCGAACCAAAAAUAGCAUCAUUGUGAACUUAUCUAAUGCAUUUUUUUAACAGAGAAGCUCCAACGGAUAAGCUCAAAAAAGUGUUAAUUGGUCCGCAUCCAACCGAAUCAUACCCGGAAAAAUUAAGCAUCUGGUUUGUUUUCCAAAUUGAUUAUAUCAGAGCUACUGAGUAUAGGAAACUUCUCAAGGAAGCUUGCAUCAAUUCGUUCGACAGGCGUAAGGCUAGAUCGGUCAGUCACACUAAGGUAGCUUUGUUCUUCUUGGUGUAAUAAGCCAAAAGGUCUGCAUCGGUCAUCGAAGGCAUCUUGGCUGCAGAACAAAAUUGCAAAAUGUAGUAUUAGUUUUCAAAGUCGGUUUGGAUGCGAACCAAAAAUAGCAUCAUUGUGAACUUAUCUAAUGCAUUUUUUUAACAGAGAAGCUCCAACGGAUAAGCUCAAAAAAGUGUUAAUUGGUCCGCAUCCAAACGAAUCAUACCCGAAAAAAUUAAUGCAGCUAAGUUAUAAUUUUUUAAAAAAAAAGUAGUUAAAGUUACCUA
RNAcentral lists this long non-coding RNA (750 nucleotides) under Lotus japonicus. RNAcentral's name for it is "long non-coding RNA (LJAP_LNC001067)". The record is from RNAcentral. Lineage: Eukaryota; Viridiplantae; Streptophyta; Magnoliopsida; Fabales; Fabaceae.